RNAcentral lists this ribosomal RNA (343 nucleotides) under uncultured Pseudomonas sp. Its description in RNAcentral is "bacterial SSU rRNA". It matches the Rfam family "Bacterial small subunit ribosomal RNA", at positions 1049 to 1391 of the family's 1533-position model. The record is from RNAcentral. Lineage: Bacteria; Pseudomonadati; Pseudomonadota; Gammaproteobacteria; Pseudomonadales; Pseudomonadaceae.
CUNUCGUCAGCUCGUGUCGUGAGAUGUUGGGUUAAGUCCCGUAACGAGCGCAACCCUUGUCCUUAGUUACCAGCACGUUAUGGUGGGCACUCUAAGGAGACUGCCGGUGACAAACCGGAGGAAGGUGGGGAUGACGUCAAGUCAUCAUGGCCCUUACGGCCUGGGCUACACACGUGCUACAAUGGUCGGUACAGAGGGUUGCCAAGCCGCGAGGUGGAGCUAAUCCCACAAAACCGAUCGUAGUCCGGAUCGCAGUCUGCAACUCGACUGCGUGAAGUCGGAAUCGCUAGUAAUCGCGAAUCANAAUGUCGCGGUGAAUACGUUCCCGGGCCUUGUACACACC